GAUGAAGAACGUAGCGAAAUGCGAUAAGUAAUGUGAAUUGCAGAAUUCAGUGAAUCAUCGAAUCUUUGAACGCACAUUGCGCCCCCUGGUAUUCCGGGGGGCAUGCCUGUUCGAGCGUCACUUCACCACUCAAGCCUCGCUUGGUAUUGGGCAACGCGGUCCGCCGCGUGCCUCAAAUCGACCGGCUGGGUCUUCUGUCCCCUAAGCGUUGUGGAAACUAUUCGCUAAAGGGUGUUCGGGAGGCUACGCCGUAAAACAACCCCAUUUCUAAGGUUGACCUCGGAUCAGGUAGGGAUACCCGCUGAACUUAAGCAUAUCAAUAAGCGGAGGA
This 331-nucleotide unclassified non-coding RNA is filed under the name soil metagenome. RNAcentral describes it as "partial contains 5.8S ribosomal RNA, internal transcribed spacer 2, and large subunit ribosomal RNA". The stretch from base 1 to 120 matches the Rfam family "5.8S ribosomal RNA", at positions 35 to 154 of the family's 154-position model. The record is from RNAcentral.